GACGAACGCUGGCGGCGUGCUUAACACAUGCAAGUCGAACGGAAAGGCCCUGCUUUUGUGGGGUGCUCGAGUGGCGAACGGGUGAGUAACACGUGAGUAACCUGCCCUUGACUUUGGGAUAACUUCAGGAAACUGGGGCUAAUACCGGAUAGGAGCUCCUGCUGCAUGGUGGGGGUUGGAAAGUUUCGGCGGUUGGGGAUGGACUCGCGGCUUAUCCGCUUGUUGGUGGGGUAGGUGCUUACCAAGGCUUUGACGGGUAGCCGGCCUGAGAGGGUGACCGGCCACAUUGGGACUGAGAUACGGCCCAGACUCCUACGGGAGGCAGCAGUGGGGAAUAUUGCACAAUGGGCGGAAGCCUGAUGCAGCAACGCCGCGUGCGGGAUGACGGCCUUCGGGUUGUAAACCGCUUUCGCCUGUGACGAAGCGUGAGUGACGGUAAUGGGUAAAGAAGCACCGGCUAACUACGUG
Molecule: ribosomal RNA, 468 nt
Filed under: uncultured bacterium
Lineage: Bacteria
Description: partial 16S ribosomal RNA
Rfam family: Bacterial small subunit ribosomal RNA
Source: RNAcentral